Molecule: long non-coding RNA, 691 nt
Filed under: Phasianus colchicus (ring-necked pheasant)
Lineage: Eukaryota; Metazoa; Chordata; Aves; Galliformes; Phasianidae
Description: lncRNA (ENSPCLG00000020827.1)
Source: RNAcentral
CCAUGUGCGUGUACGUUAGCCUCUCAAAUGCCCUUCACCUCCAAUACCUUUUGAGCUCAUCAACCAAUCUCAAGCCAACCUUGCUGAAGGAUAUGAGCAUUGGAGAUACAGUGUUCUUACAAGUGUCAUGAAAAUAUGUGCUCGCAGAAAAGAUGUGCUGUUCAUUCUGCCGCUGACAAGAAAAGCUAACAAACUUGCCCUUUUCAGACUUCAGGGAACCCAGGAUACUGGAGACCAUAUUCCAUUAUUUCUGCAGCUUGUGAACGUGUUUGUUUCAUCUUGUUGAGGCAUAAUCUGACAUCUGCUGGACUGAGCCCACUGAAAGGGGAUGAUCAGCAGCCAUUGUCCAGUGAUCCAUGCUGGAUGCAAGAAGCAGAUCGAGUCUUAAUUCUCCUGCUGUUCCAGCUGCCCAGCACACUCUCCUAGCCUGCAGUUCAAGAGUUGCGUACCGCCAUUAUGCUGCAAACAAUUCCUCCUGAUACACGCUCAGUGCUUCAAGAGAAGCCUCAAGCUGGCUUUUCUCCCUUCUGUCAGAGUCCCCGUCGCCUACCACCAGCAGUGAGCAAGAAGAGAGCCAGCACAGCAGGAGAACUACAGUCUACAGGACACUGUGGUCUCAGCUGUCUUUCUGCCUGAGGUUCAACAUGACCACAGAGAUACACCAUGGGACAUUUGCCAACAACUCUGCCCC